UACAGAGGGGGCAAGCGUUGUUCGGAAUUACUGGGCGUAAAGGGCGCGUAGGCGGCCCGCUAAGUCGAACGUGAAAUCCCCGAGCUCAACUCGGGAACUGCGUCCGAUACUGGCGGGCUUGAAUCCGGGAGAGGGAUGCGGAAUUCCAGGUGUAGCGGUGAAAUGCGUAGAUAUCUGGAGGAACACCGGUGGCGAAGGCGGGUCUCUGGACAGUUCCUGACGCUGAGGCACGAAGGCCAGGGGAGCAAACGGG
This 253-nucleotide ribosomal RNA is filed under the name uncultured bacterium. RNAcentral describes it as "partial 16S ribosomal RNA". It matches the Rfam family "Bacterial small subunit ribosomal RNA", at positions 524 to 776 of the family's 1533-position model. The record is from RNAcentral.